Molecule: ribosomal RNA, 85 nt
Filed under: Staphylococcus aureus
Lineage: Bacteria; Bacillati; Bacillota; Bacilli; Caryophanales; Staphylococcaceae
Source: RNAcentral
UCUGGUGGCUAUAGCAAGGAGGUCACACCUGUUCCCAUGCCGAACACAGAAGUUAAGCUCCUUAGCGUCGAUGGUAGUCGAACUU